AGUGAACGCUGGCGGUAGGCCUAACACAUGCAAGUCGAACGGCAGCACAGUAAGAGCUUGCUCUUACGGGUGGCGAGUGGCGGACGGGUGAGGAAUACAUCGGAAUCUACUUUUUCGUGGGGGAUAACGUAGGGAAACUUACGCUAAUACCGCAUACGACCUACGGGUGAAAGCAGGGGAUCUUCGGACCUUGCGCGAUUGAAUGAGCCGAUGUCGGAUUAGCUAGUUGGCGGGGUAAAGGCACACCAAGGCGACGAUCCGUAGCUGGUCUGAGAGGAUGAUCAGCCACACUGGAACUGAGACACGGUCCAGACUCCUACGGGAGGCAGCAGUGGGGAAUAUUGGACAAUGGGCGCAAGCCUGAUCCAGCCAUACCGCGUGGGUGAAGAAGGCCUUCGGGUUGUAAAGCCCUUUUGUCGGGAAAGAAAAGCAGCAGGUUAAUACCCCGCUGUUCUGACGGUACCCAAAGAAUAAGCACCGGCUAACUUCGUG
RNAcentral lists this ribosomal RNA (492 nucleotides) under uncultured bacterium. RNAcentral describes it as "partial 16S ribosomal RNA". It matches the Rfam family "Bacterial small subunit ribosomal RNA", at positions 29 to 507 of the family's 1533-position model. The record is from RNAcentral.